AUGGUAGAGGUGGGUUGGAGACUUUCGAGUUUCCAGUUCAUUUUUUUAGAUGAAUUAUGGUGCUGAGGUGUAGUGGGAGGCACUGAGUCUGAGGGGGAAGAUGCUUAAUCGGCUAAGUCGGCUGUUGCUUUUGCACUGCUGCUCCGAGAAUAAAUUGAAGACACAAACUAAUACGUACAUUGUAGCGCUUUGUGGACCAGUCACAAGCGGCGUUCCUUAGUCACCUGUACAAAUUCUAAUACAAGUUAUAGAUGCCCUUGACAAUCUUGCAUUGAUCGAUCAUUUAAAUUUACUAGGCAUACUAGUUAAAUUACAAGGAGUUAUAAACUCGGCCAAAAAGGCAAUAGAAAAGGUUAAUCAAAAGCUCUUUGAUGGGGAAACCAUCAUCAUCCUACACAAGCACAAAUGUUAAGCUUUCUCUUAGCAGUCAUCAAGAUAAACCUUAUGUAUUGAAAAUUUGAAGUUGUCGUCUAC
RNAcentral lists this small RNA (474 nucleotides) under Malus domestica (apple). Its description in RNAcentral is "sRNA MD11G0005600". Lineage: Eukaryota; Viridiplantae; Streptophyta; Magnoliopsida; Rosales; Rosaceae. The record is from RNAcentral.